This 403-nucleotide ribosomal RNA is filed under the name uncultured bacterium. RNAcentral describes it as "partial 16S ribosomal RNA". It matches the Rfam family "Bacterial small subunit ribosomal RNA", at positions 29 to 526 of the family's 1533-position model. The record is from RNAcentral.
AUUGAACGCUGGCGGCAGGCCUAACACAUGCAAGUCGAGCGAGCGGCGGACGGGUGAGUAAUGUAUGGGGACUGCCCGUUAGAGGGGGAUAACUACUGGAAACGGUAGCUAAUACCGCAUACUAUCGGAUAACCCAUAGGGGAUUAGCUAGUAGGUGAGGUAAUGGCUAACCUAGGCGACGAUCCCUACCGGGUCUGAGAGGAUGAUCAGCAAAAAUGGGACGGAGACACGGCACAGAAUACUACGGAGGAAGCAGUGGGGAAGAUUGGACAAUGGGCGAAAGCCUGAUGCAGACAUGCCGCGUGUAUGAAGAAGGCCGUAGGGUAGUAAAGUACUUUCAGUCGGGAGGCGUUACCGACAGAAGAAGCACCGGCUAACUCCGUGCCAGCAGCCGCGGUAAUAC